RNAcentral lists this ribosomal RNA (468 nucleotides) under uncultured bacterium. Its description in RNAcentral is "partial 16S ribosomal RNA". It matches the Rfam family "Bacterial small subunit ribosomal RNA", at positions 28 to 507 of the family's 1533-position model. The record is from RNAcentral.
GACGAACGCUGGCGGCGUGCUUAACACAUGCAAGUCGAACGGAAAGGCCCUGCUUUUGUGGGGUGCUCGAGUGGCGAACGGGUGAGUAACACGUGAGUAACCUGCCCUUGACUUUGGGAUAACUUCAGGAAACUGGGGCUAAUACCGGAUAGGAGCUCCUGCUGCAUGGUGGGGGUUGGAAAGUUUCGGCGGUUGGGGAUGGACUCGCGGCUUAUCAGCUUGUUGGUGGGGUAGUGGCUUACCAAGGCUUUGACGGGUAGCCGGCCUGAGAGGGUGACCGGCCACAUUGGGACUGAGGUACGGCCCAGACUCGUACGGGAGGCAGCAGGGGGGAAUAUUGCACAAUGGCCGGAAGCCUGAUGCAGCAACGCCGCGUGCGGGAUGACGGCCUUCGGGUUAUAAACCGCUUUCGCCUGUGACGAAGCGUGAGUGACGGUAAUGGGUAAAGAAGCCCCGGCUAACUACGUG